Gossypium hirsutum (cotton) is the source of this 145-nucleotide non-coding RNA. NCBI's taxonomy places the organism in Eukaryota, Viridiplantae, Streptophyta, Magnoliopsida, Malvales, Malvaceae. The record is from Rfam.
CGUUAAAAAUUGCAUCCAAUUGUACUGUUAAAAACUAAAGUGGUUGACGGAAUAACCCAACAAUAAUACAUGAUGUGUCAUAUUUAUCUCAUGCUAUCAUACAGAAUAUAAUUUUUUGCAAUAAAAAUGGGUUAAAAUUUUAAUU